GCGGGAGUAGCUCAGCGGUAGAGUCCCUGCCUUCCAAGCAGGCUGUCGCCGGUUCGAAUCCGGUCUCCCGCU
Molecule: transfer RNA, 72 nt
Filed under: Dehalococcoidia bacterium
Lineage: Bacteria; Bacillati; Chloroflexota; Dehalococcoidia
Description: tRNA-Gly
Rfam family: tRNA
About the family: Transfer RNA (tRNA) molecules are approximately 80 nucleotides in length. Their secondary structure includes four short double-helical elements and three loops (D, anti-codon, and T loops).
Source: RNAcentral